Molecule: small nuclear RNA, 160 nt
Filed under: Nelumbo nucifera (sacred lotus)
Lineage: Eukaryota; Viridiplantae; Streptophyta; Magnoliopsida; Proteales; Nelumbonaceae
Description: U1 spliceosomal RNA
Rfam family: U1 spliceosomal RNA
About the family: U1 is a small nuclear RNA (snRNA) component of the spliceosome (involved in pre-mRNA splicing).
Source: Rfam by way of RNAcentral
AUACUUACCUGGACGGGGUCGAUGGGUGAUCAAAAAGGCCCAUGGCCUAGGUUGGCGACCUCCAUUGCACUAAGGAGGGGUGCCCGCCUAACAUCUCCCCGAGUGGGAGAGUGUAUGUCAUAAUUUGUGGUAGCGGGGGUACGCGUUCGCGCGGCCCCUA